Molecule: ribosomal RNA, 470 nt
Filed under: uncultured bacterium
Lineage: Bacteria
Description: bacterial SSU rRNA
Rfam family: Bacterial small subunit ribosomal RNA
Source: RNAcentral
GAUGAACGCUGGCGGCGUGCCUAAUACAUGCAAGUCGAACGAGGUGCUUUUGUAGCAAUACGAGAGUAUCCUAGUGGCGAACGGGUGAGUAACGCGUUGGUGACCUGCCCCAAAGUGUGGGAUAACAGUCCGAAAGGAUUGCUAAUACCUCAUGUGGUCAUUGGGUUUAGAAACUAAUGACUAAAGCAGCAAUGCGCUUUGGGAGGGACCUGCGUCCCAUCAGCUAGUUGGUGAGGUAAUGGCUCACCAAGGCGACGACGGGUAGGGGACCUGAGAGGGUGACCCCCCACAAUGGAACUGAAACACGGUCCAUACACCUACGGGUGGCAGCAGUAGGGAAUAUUGCUCAAUGGGCGAAAGCCUGAAGCAGCAACGCCGCGUGUGCGAUGAAGGUCUUCGGAUCGUAAAGCACUUUUCUGCGAGAUGAGAAAGGACAGUAUCGUAGGAAUAAGUCUCGGCUAACUACGUGC